Molecule: long non-coding RNA, 772 nt
Organism: Lycium barbarum (goji berry)
Lineage: Eukaryota; Viridiplantae; Streptophyta; Magnoliopsida; Solanales; Solanaceae
Exons: 3
Source: RefSeq, a predicted model, not a curated record
UCGACCUUUGUUUGUGCUAAAUCUUGUAGGAUAAUAUUAUUUGGUGGUUAAAGUUUGUUUUAAUUCGUUGCAUGUCGAGAAAAAGCUUGAAGAACUCAACAUUCUUUAUAUUCUGUGAUUUGAAAUCAGUGUUAGUGAACUGGGUUUCUUACUCGAUUUUUUUUAUUUCAGUUUGUCAUUUUUUUUAACUAAAAGGUGAAUGAUAUUUUCUGUUUCAAUAAGUUAUUUCAGCUUGUUCUUCUCUCUUAGCAGCAUUUCUCAUUAGCAAAAUGUAUCGUUUUGUAGCAAAUCUUGCUUCCAAAGCCAGAGUGGCAAGAACCAACACCCAACAAAUUGGUGGAAGGUUAAAUUGGAGUAGAAGUUAUGCUGCAAAGGAUAUUAGAUUUGGUGUUGAAGCUCGAGCUGCAAUGCUUCAAGGUAUUGAAGAACUUGCUGAUGCUGUUAAGUCACUAUGGGUCCAAAGGUGAAUUUUUUAUCAACCCCAUUAGUCAAUACACUCUGUUUGUUACAUAGAUUGUUUAUAUAUUUAUAUGUAAACAAUUCAACCCCAUUAGUGAAUACACACUGUUUGUUACAUAGAUUGUUCAUAUAUUUAUAUGUAAACAAUGUUUAGUAUAAAAUAUUGUGACUUAUAGUACUUGAAAUGUUACUGCAUCUUUAGAAGCUGAAAUAAGUGUCAGGUUGCUGAUUGUUUUUUAGGCAAGCAACUGCUAUAGUGGAGACAUAUUUUGUGCCUUACUUUGCUAUUUGAUGAACUGCUACUACAUUUGAA